Molecule: long non-coding RNA, 211 nt
Filed under: Mytilus galloprovincialis (Mediterranean mussel)
Lineage: Eukaryota; Metazoa; Mollusca; Bivalvia; Mytilida; Mytilidae
Source: RNAcentral
GGGCGUGUUUGAGUUGAAUAUUUUGUCUUGAAAACGUACAAAGCAAGAAUAUUUGAUACAUCAUCUCGCUUCAGAUUCUAUCAUAUUUAUAUAUCAAACCUACAGGUUGAAUUUAUAACAUACAAAAAUCACAGUACUAAAAGAUGAAAUAUAUGGGUCAAGUGAAAUACCUUUCUAAUGAAUCAUAAAAACAGAGUAGGUGUGUUCGAAU